GCGUUGAAUUCGAGCGUGGCGUGAAUUCAACCUUUAAUUUAUUUGGAGAACAAUUUCAUUUCAAAAAUAUCUUGUCAUGGCAUUGACUUGCAUUUGGUCAAUGGUGUCACACGAGGUUUGUGGUUGCAAUUUUUUUUAAAAAGUUACGAUUUUGAAUUCAGGGCGAGAAAAGGAAAGAUGUUUGAUUUGUAUUGACCUAACCUUUACAUGCACACAUAUAUUCAAAAAAAAGUUUGAAGGCUCGUAUUUUUGUAAUACAUAAAAACCCGCUAUGUUACAGUUUUGAUAGCAAGAUAUCAUUAGAAUCAUCUCAGAUUAUCUUAAACACCC
This 330-nucleotide long non-coding RNA is filed under the name Sorghum bicolor (sorghum). Its description in RNAcentral is "long non-coding RNA (SBIC_LNC011023)". The record is from RNAcentral. Lineage: Eukaryota; Viridiplantae; Streptophyta; Magnoliopsida; Poales; Poaceae.